UUGUCUCAAAGAUUAAGCCAUGCAUGUCUCAGUACAAGCCACAUUAAGGUGAAACCGCGAAAGGCUCAUUAAAUCAGUUAUGGUUCCUUAGAUCGUACCCACAAUUACUUGGAUAACUGUGGUAAUUCUAGAGCUAAUACAUGAAAACAGAGCUCCGACCGGAGACGGAAGGAGCGCUUUUAUUAGAUCAAAACCAAUCGGCGGCGGGUUCGCCCGUCGUCGAAACUCUUGGUGACUCUGAAUAACUUUUGCUGAUCGCACGGUCUCGCACCGGCGACGCAUCUUUCAAAUGUCUGCCUUAUCAACUGUCGAUGGUAGGUUCUGCGCCUACCAUGGUUGUAACGGGUAACGGGGAAUCAGGGUUCGAUUCCGGAGAGGGAGCCUGAGAAACGGCUACCACAUCCAAGGAAGGCAGCAGGCGCGCAAAUUACCCACUCCCGGCACGGGGAGGUAGUGACGAAAAAUAACGAUACGGGACUCAUCCGAGGCCCCGUAAUCGGAAUGAGUACACUCUAAAUCCUUUAACGAGGAUCAAUUGGAGGGCAAGUCUGGUGCCAGCAGCCGCGGUAAUUCCAGCUCCAAUAGCGUAUAUUAAAGUUGUUGCGGUUAAAAAGCUCGUAGUCGAAUCUGUGUCCCGCGCCGCCGGUUCAUCGCUCGCGGUGUUCAACUGGCGUGUCGCGGGACGUCCUGCCGGUGAGCUUAGCCCGCGAGGGCGGCUCAACUUGAAAUCCCAUCGCGGUGCUCUUCAUUGAGUGUCGAGGUGGGCCGGCACGUUUACUUUGAACAAAUUAGAGUGCUUAAAGCAGGCUAAAAUUUUGCCUGAAUACUGUGUGCAUGGAAUAAUGGAAUAGGACCUCGGUUCUAUUUUGUUGGUUUUCGGAACCCCGAGGUAAUGAUUAAUAGGAACGGAUGGGGGCAUUCGUAUUGCGACGUUAGAGGUGAAAUUCUUGGAUCGUCGCAAGACGGACAGAAGCGAAAGCAUUUGCCAAAAACGCUUUCAUUGAUCAAGAACGAAAGUUAGAGGUUCGAAGGCGAUCAGAUACCGCCCUAGUUCUAACCAUAAACGAUGCCAGCUAGCGAUCCGCCGACGUUCCUUAGAUGACUCGGCGGGCAGCUUCCGGGAAACCAAAGCUUUUGGGUUCCGGGGGAAGUAUGGUUGCAAAGCUGAAACUUAAAGGAAUUGACGGAAGGGCACCACCAGGAGUGGAGCCUGCGGCUUAAUUUGACUCAACACGGGAAACCUCACCAGGCCCGGACACCGGAAGGAUUGACAGAUUGAGAGCUCUUUCUUGAUUCGGUGGGUGGUGGUGCAUGGCCGUUCUUAGUUGGUGGAGCGAUUUGUCUGGUUAAUUCCGAUAACGAACGAGACUCUAGCCUGCUAACUAGGCGUAUUUUCGACAUCUCAAAGGUCCGCCGGGCCGGCUUCACGGCCGUGUCUGUGCGCGAUUUUUACUGUCGGCGUACAAUCAAUUCUUCUUAGAGGGACAGGCGGCUUCUAGCCGCACGAGAUUGAGCAAUAACAGGUCUGUGAUGCCCUUAGAUGUUCUGGGCCGCACGCGCGCUACACUGAAGGAAUCAGCGUGUCUUCCCUGGCCGAGAGGCCCGGGUAACCCGCUGAACCUCCUUCGUGCUAGGGAUUGGGGCUUGCAAUUGUUCCCCAUGAACGAGGAAUUCCCAGUAAGCGCGAGUCAUAAGCUCGCGUUGAUUACGUCCCUGCCCUUUGUACACACCGCCCGUCGCUACUACCGAUUGAAUGAUUUAGUGAGGUCUUCGGACCGGUACGCGGCGGCGUUUCGACGUCGCCGAUGCUGCUGGAAAGAUGACCAAACUUGGAU
Molecule: ribosomal RNA, 1835 nt
Filed under: Pseudopsis sulcata
Lineage: Eukaryota; Metazoa; Arthropoda; Insecta; Coleoptera; Staphylinidae
Description: SSU rRNA
Rfam family: Eukaryotic small subunit ribosomal RNA
Source: RNAcentral